CUUCCGAAUGCCAUUUUUUAAUUGCUCACCGGUCUGGCAUCUGCUUUCAACUGGAUGAUUACCGAUUCUGCCUCUUGGAUUGUCCUGGUGUUCCUGAAGCCCGUAGUAGAGAUGCUCUAUAACAGGAGGAGGGAAGGAGAAAGAAGCGUCUGAAACUGUCACAGUCUCGAGUGAGAGCUGUGUCCAUCAGAGCACCUUCAAAAACGGCACGGUCGACACGGCACCAGGCCUGCUUGCGUCGGAUGGGAUUCACCUUUGUCAACAGGGAAAGAGGGUCUUUGCUCAUGGGCUAGCAGGGCUCGUUGACAGAGCUUUAAACUAGACUUGAAGGGCAUAAUGUCAGGCUUGCUUGUGACAAGCUGUGGGACAACACGCCAAGGCUAGAGGGAUGGGGUGCUAGAAGGGCCUUCAGCCUCUCACUCUGAGACAUGCUAGGCACGCCAAGGUCAAUGAAGAAGGAAGGGGAGGAGGUGCUCCAGGUG
Molecule: long non-coding RNA, 482 nt
Organism: Gavia stellata (red-throated loon)
Lineage: Eukaryota; Metazoa; Chordata; Aves; Gaviiformes; Gaviidae
Exons: 4
Source: RefSeq, a predicted model, not a curated record